GGAAACUGCCUGAUGGAGGGGGGUAACUACUGGAAACGGUAGCUAAUACCGCAUAACGUCGCAAGACCAAAGAGGGGGACCUUCGGGCCUCUUGCCAUCGGAUGUGCCCAGAUGGGAUUAGCUAGUAGGUGGGGUAACGGCUCACCUAGGCGACGAUCCCUAGCUGGUCUGAGAGGAUGACCAGCCACACUGGAACUGAGACACGGUCCAG
RNAcentral lists this ribosomal RNA (211 nucleotides) under uncultured bacterium. Its description in RNAcentral is "partial 16S ribosomal RNA". It matches the Rfam family "Bacterial small subunit ribosomal RNA", at positions 121 to 334 of the family's 1533-position model. The record is from RNAcentral.